ACUACUUGACAGCAUUUCUCUAUUUCUAAAUUGAUCUGCUUAGAUGCCAAUCAACGAAAGUGAUUUGUCGCCGCCCAUUUGUCAGUGUACAAAACACUCAUCUGAGCGAUUGUCAACCGUCUCUCAGCACUCCUAUCCCCGCGAUAAGAAUAAGCCAUGCUCAACACUUUUUUGUCUUCCACCUCCCUUUAGAUUAAUCACUGAGACUGAGGACGGCCUGAUGAAUUGCUGACCACUGGCUGCUGUCCACCGUCCACCGUCCACUGUCCAUAUUGACUCAUUUGGCGCGAUCCCGAUUUGGCUUCGGAUUGAAUGGGCUAAGUGGCUGGACUUUGAAGAUCUAGCUGCGGAUAAGCCGCUGAUGAAUAUGUUCAAUGAAUGAAAAAUGUUGCGGCCAUAGCUAUUUUAAUUAUGCUCGCUCAACUGUAUAAAGUUAUGUAUAUGUAUAUGGUGUGCCCUAUGGUGCACGCGGACACGCAGACCUCGACAAAAAAAGGGCCACACUCGUUGCGGUCUCCUCGGCUCACCUGUAUACCUAUAUGUAUGUAUAUUUUCUGCCCACUUGGCCGACACCUGCCCGUGUAAAUUACCCAACAAAGCGUUCCAAGUUGCUCCACGCGACACUUUUGGCUUGGCCAUAUGCUAAAGUAUCUAUCCAGGGGGAAGACUCCAAAGACUGGGAGUGAUUUAGCCAGCCAGCCAGUUAGCCAGCCAGCUAGCCAGCCAGCCCGGUGGUCUAAUUAGAAACGAUCUUGUCAAUUAGCCAGCGAACUGGCCACCGGGGAAAGAAAUGGAAGGUGGGCUAAACUCAGGCCCCAAACCAUGUCAUGUUGUCUCUGGAGUUUUUACCGAAAUUGUGUUCGAGCCUGUGUUAAUUUUUUCUCGGUCGGCCACUUGAUCGAUGCGAAUACACGGUUUGGGAGAAAUUAUAUAGCUGCUGUGGCGCGGUCGAUUCAAAUUUUUCAAUUUCUCAAAACCCCAAAAAGCAACAAACGAAAAAAAAACAUACAGUGAGCAGUACAUGUUGUCCAGCGGGAUGCGAGUUGUCCCCAGAGAAGAUGCGGUGCGCAGGUGACUGUGGUCCGAUUUACCUGGAAUUCGACGCUUAACUAAUGAUGCUCAUCAGGCUGCUCAAUGGACCCAAUACCAAUCCCAAUACCAAUACCAAUCCCAAUCCCAAUGCUCGCCGGCUACCGUAUCUUCGAUCUCCGGCGAGCAGUGUGUUUCCAUGGAAGAUCGGCGCAACGCCAAACGAAAAUCAAUUUUCAAACCGCGCUUAAUUACCCAUUAUGAAAAAUUGCAGUCGUUAAUGUUUUCGGUUGCCUAUCAAAAUCAGUUUUUCCAAAUAAAACAAAAAAAAAAGGGGGGGAGAGAAGAGGAAUGAGGAUCACCAUUCACCAUGAUCAGCGUCAUCAUCAUCUGAGGCAGCAGCAGCGUGGACCGUUGAGCGUUGAGCGUGUAAAAUGCUUUUCCGCGUCUCCGACUCGCAGAAACCUUUGGCCCUGUUGCAAAAUGCGGCAGCCACAACAACUGAAAAAGCUCAAGGGGAGGAGGGCAGCGGCCGGAACAACAACGAUUUUCUACACUGA
This is a long non-coding RNA of Drosophila gunungcola (fruit fly), 1589 nucleotides long. RefSeq lists it as uncharacterized. The transcript has 3 exons. The record is from RefSeq and is a predicted model, not a curated record. NCBI's taxonomy places the organism in Eukaryota, Metazoa, Arthropoda, Insecta, Diptera, Drosophilidae.